RNAcentral lists this ribosomal RNA (426 nucleotides) under uncultured bacterium. RNAcentral's name for it is "bacterial SSU rRNA". It matches the Rfam family "Bacterial small subunit ribosomal RNA", at positions 355 to 772 of the family's 1533-position model. The record is from RNAcentral.
UGGGGAAUCUUGCGCAAUGGGCGAAAGCCUGACGCAGCGACGCCGCGUGGGGGAGGAAGCUUUUCGGAGUGUAAACCCCUGUCAGGAGGGAAGAACGGGCACCCGAGGAAAUGCGGGUGUUUUGACGGUACCUCCAAAGGAAGCCCCGGCUAACUACGUGCCAGCAGCCGCGGUAAUACGUAGGGGGCAAACGUUGUCCGGAAUAACUGGGCGUAAAGGGCGAGUAGGUGGUCUGUCAAGUCAGAAGUGAAAACUGCGGGCUCAACCCGGAGAUUGCUUUUCGAAACUGGCAGACUUGAGUGCAGGAGAGGGAAGCGGAAUUCCUAGUGUAGCGGUGAAAUGCGUAGAUAUUAGGAGGAACACCAGUGGCGAAGGCGGCUUCCUGGCCUGUAACUGACACUGAGGCGCGAAAGCGUGGGGAGCAAA